This 464-nucleotide ribosomal RNA is filed under the name uncultured bacterium. RNAcentral describes it as "bacterial SSU rRNA". It matches the Rfam family "Bacterial small subunit ribosomal RNA", at positions 338 to 795 of the family's 1533-position model. The record is from RNAcentral.
CCUACGGGCCGCACCAGUAGGGAAUCUUCGGCAAUGACGAAAGUCUGACCGAGCAACGCCGCGUGAGUGAAGAAGGUUUUCGGAUCGUAAAACUCUGUUGUUAGAGAAGAACAAGUAGGAGAGUAACUGCUCUUACCUUGACGGUAUCUAACCAGAAAGCCACGGCUAACUACGUGCCAGCAGCCGAGGUAAUACGUAGGUGGCAAGCGUUGUCCGGAUUUAUUGGGCGUAAAGCGAGCGCAGGCGGUCUUUUAAGUCUGAUGUGAAAGCCCUCGGCUCAACCGAGGAAGGUCAUUGGAAACUGGAGGACUCGAGUGCAGAAGAGGAGAGUGGAGUUCCAUGUGUAGCGGUGAAAUGCGUAGAUAUAUGGAGGAACACCAGUGGCGAAGGCGACUCUCAGGUCUGUAACUGACGCUGAGGCUCGAAAGCGUGGGGAGCAAACAGGAUUAGAUACCCCCGUAGUC